AAAGUCAAAGGUUGUUUUUGUUUUAUUUUCUCCAAAAGAAAAGGCCAAAGGUUUUUUUUUUUUUUUUUUGGUAUCCCAGGAAAUCUCCGUGUGCCGCUUCGCAGCGGAGUAAAGCCUGGGGGAGCGCUGCAGGACCCACUACCACAGACUCCGGGUAAGACGCUUGAGGACUCCGCGGUUGACUUUCCACGCCUAACAAACGAACUGGGGGUACCAUCCGGGGAUUCGAACUUCCACGCCCAGCUUUGAUAGGGGUACCGCUCAACCAGCGAGGCCACCG
This 280-nucleotide long non-coding RNA is filed under the name Eucalyptus grandis. RNAcentral's name for it is "long non-coding RNA (EGRA_LNC007549)". Lineage: Eukaryota; Viridiplantae; Streptophyta; Magnoliopsida; Myrtales; Myrtaceae. The record is from RNAcentral.